UGACAAAACAGUUGGAUGGGCUUAGG
RNAcentral lists this non-coding RNA (26 nucleotides) under Mus musculus (house mouse). The record is from RNAcentral. Lineage: Eukaryota; Metazoa; Chordata; Mammalia; Rodentia; Muridae.